This is a non-coding RNA of Phrynosoma platyrhinos (Desert horned lizard), 72 nucleotides long. The record is from the annotation of a GenBank genome assembly. Lineage: Eukaryota; Metazoa; Chordata; Lepidosauria; Squamata; Phrynosomatidae.
GGUAGUGUGGCACAGUGGUUUGAGUGCUGAACUAGGACUCUGGAGACCAGGGUUUGAUUCCAAGCUUGGCCA